CGCCCUCCCUCCGGCCCGCCACUACAGACUCCUACGGAGGCAGCAGUAAGGAAUAUUGGUCAAUGGACGCAAGUCUGAACCAGCCAUGCCGCGUGGAGGAUGAAGGCCCUCUGGGUUGUAAACUUCUUUUUAAUCUGGGAAGAAACCCAUCCUUUUCUAAGGUGGUUGACGGUACCAGUUGAAUAAGCACCGGCUAACUCCGUGCCAGCAGCCGCGGUAAUAC
Molecule: ribosomal RNA, 223 nt
Filed under: uncultured bacterium
Lineage: Bacteria
Description: partial 16S ribosomal RNA
Rfam family: Bacterial small subunit ribosomal RNA
Source: RNAcentral